This 253-nucleotide ribosomal RNA is filed under the name uncultured bacterium. Its description in RNAcentral is "partial 16S ribosomal RNA". It matches the Rfam family "Bacterial small subunit ribosomal RNA", at positions 524 to 776 of the family's 1533-position model. The record is from RNAcentral.
UACAGAGGGGGCGAGCGUUGUUCGGAAUUACUGGGCGUAAAGGGCGCGUAGGCGGCCAACUAAGUCAGACGUGAAAUCCCUCGGCUCAACCGGGGAACUGCGUCUGAUACUGGAUGGCUUGAAUCCGGGAGAGGGAUGUGGAAUUCCAGGUGUAGCGGUGAAAUGCGUAGAUAUCUGGAGGAACACCCGUGGCGAAGGCGGCAUCCUGGACCGGUAUUGACGCUGAGGCGCGAAAGCCAGGGGAGCAAACGGG